RNAcentral lists this transfer RNA (67 nucleotides) under Microhodotermes viator. RNAcentral describes it as "tRNA-Met". Lineage: Eukaryota; Metazoa; Arthropoda; Insecta; Blattodea; Hodotermitidae. RNAcentral also lists the same sequence under 1 other name. The record is from RNAcentral.
AGAAAGGUAAGCUAAAAAAGCUAAUGGGUUCAUACCCCGUAAAUAGAGACAGACACUCUCCAUUCUA